Fundulus heteroclitus (mummichog) is the source of this 3779-nucleotide long non-coding RNA. RefSeq lists it as uncharacterized. NCBI's taxonomy places the organism in Eukaryota, Metazoa, Chordata, Actinopteri, Cyprinodontiformes, Fundulidae. The transcript is spliced from 2 exons. The record is from RefSeq and is a predicted model, not a curated record.
GAUGUUACGCAUGGCUCUGACAAAGAGGAAGUAGAGGUUGCAAACUAGCAAGGACCAUAUUUUUUUUUCUUUUAAAAAGGAGAGAGGAUUUCAGGAAUGUGUUGCUAUAAGGCAAGUUGUCAUUGUUAUGUCAUGUCAACUAGCAUUGGCGAUGUUAAAUGCUGCCCAGAGAUGUAGAGAAACGUUCUAUGCACGUUUUGGGAAUAUCCGGGAAGAACCCGGCAGCAGGAACAGCUGAUCAGUCAUGUGAGGUAAAUGUUCGCCAAGUCAGAACGUAUUAGGCAGAUGUGUUUCCAUCUCCCAUUAACUCUUUUUCGCAUAAUCCAAAAGCCAUCUCGGGUGAGUGUAAAAUUUUUAAUUAGGAAAUUGAGAAAGUUUUAUUUUUUUGCCAUUUCCAACAACUUUUUCUAGAGAUUCAUCUUCAGGACAAUGAGCCUAAACAUUUUGUGUUGAAGGGGAUAUAUGCGAAAUCCACUUUUUUACACCUUAAAAACAUUUUGUUAUGUACUUGAUUUGAGUCUCUAGGAUUGCAGAAAAUAUGAAAGUAGUCUGUCCAGGUCUUAUGUAGAUAGCCAUGUUCUUUUGGGUCAUAUUUUUCAAACUCUGUUUUCCAUUAUGCUUUUUGUACAAUUACAUCAAAAUAUUUUCUAUAGAGCAGCUAAACAAGUUGAUGGACUGAUUUUGUUGCCGAUUUUGUUAACCUGCCCUUUUUAUUUAAAUUUUUUUUGUCACAAUUUAGUAGUCCAAGCUCCAGGAUGCCAAAGCUAGAAGUGGAGAAGUCAAAAUGUUUGGUUCACAUUACCACAGUAUGGUACUAAAAUGUCCGAACGGGUUGGAGUGGAACGCUUUCUGACCUGGGGUGUGUCCAAAUUCAGGACUAGCAACCGAGACAGCAUUAAGCACAGCUGUGAAACUGAACCAACGGGGCCAAAGGUCAAUCUCUCUAUCUCCACUAAAUAACUACAUGUUUUACUUUCCGCUUUACAUUUUCCUGAUGUUUUGUUUAAAAGUGUUCUGGUUUCGUUAUUUAAUUUUACUGUCAUUCAUCAAUAAGCUGUUUUUAGUUCAAAAUAAUUUAUAUGUUAAUCGAUAUAAAAAUAUACUACCAAAUAAAAUUGAUUACAAAUACCACUUGUUAGAAAUAUGUUUAACAACUUAAACCCUAACCUUAAUUUCUGAACAAAGCUUAUAUCACUAUAUUUGUAGAGAAUAGUAAUAAAGUAAUGAAACAUUGUUUGCAGUGCCUCAUUUAGAUUUCAAGAGACAGCAAAACGAGUCGCUCUCAGAUGCACCUCAGAACAGAGGUCAAAGAGGGGAACGUGAACGUAAAUUAACGAGGAAUUCAGACCAAAGCAUUGCAGUUCCACUUUAUAUAGACCACAACUGAAUAAUUUCAACAUGAAAAGGAAGAAUCAAAAACCAUGAUAGAUUAUGAGAGUUAGAUCAAAGUAUACUCUUGAGUAUACUUUGAGAGUAUACUCUCAAAGUAUACUCUUAUAAUGGCCCUAUCAUAGUCCAGACCUAAAUUCAAAGUGUGGCAAGCCUCAAAAAAUUAUAUUCACAGAUGUUCUCUAAUCGAUCUGACUGAAUCUGAGCUAUGCAGCAAAAAUAAGAAUGCAAUAAAUAAAUAAGGAUCAUUUUCUUUUCACUUAAUUAUGCACUACAUUGUGUUGGUCUGUCGCAUAAAACCCAAUCAAAUCCACUGAAAUUUGUGGCAGCCAUGUGGCAAAAUCUGGAAAACCUCAAGCAGUAUUUAAUACUUUUGCAAGGCACUGGAAACCACAGAAGAAAAAGCUGCAGAAGAUCACUCUUGCUUAGCCUGUUUAUUGCCUCUUCCAUCCAGCAGGGCGGUGCCAGUGAGCCAGGAGUACAGCCAGAGCAGGCAGGGGUCUCUGUGAAGCGGGUGGGUGGGCAAGGAAGGCAAAGGAAGGUGGGAGAUGCUGUGUGCGUAUGCAUGAUGGUUGAUGCGUAUGACGGUGGAGGUGCUGGGAAUGGCUGGUAAGCUGCGUGUGCUAGGAGAGCAAUGAAAUGCGUACAUUUUAGUGCAUUUCUGACAUCUAGUCAGACACCAGAGAGCCGUAAGGAGGAAGCUCCUGACCCAGAGACAUGUUGUUGUUGUCAUCAGACAGACAGACAAACAGCCAUGGUGGGAAAAAAAAAAAAGGAUGGAGAGUUGUUGCGUUGGUGGAUCCGUAAAGCCAUGCAGGAAACUCAAAGCUGAAAUGCAAGUACAUUUCAAAGCAAUGAUGUGAGAUCUUCGGCUUUUAAAUCGAGGCUGACAUAUUAGCGUGAGGAGGUCACUGACCGCCCCCUAUUUAAUCUGGAUAGACACACGGUAGUCAGCUUUUAAGUUAGAAGCGGGAUAAAAAAAAGGUUUAAAGCUGAGGUACAGUCAACACCCAAGCAAACACAUAUAGUGAUGGAUUACAUCACACAUAUAAGAACUAGGGGGGGUAAAGACACAUCUGUCUCACAGGAUGAUGGACUAUAUUGGGUUUAUAAGAACUAGAAGAAGGGGCGGAGGCUACGUAAAUAUUUUUGUAAGUGACAAAAUCGACUCAGAAGUCUGGGCUCGGACUGGGAAAGGCAUCACAACCAAGUUUAAUUGCAUUUCUGUCUGUGAGUUGGUAAAACCAGCGUGAUUUGCUAAUUGUUUUAGGGUGCGUCUAUUAUGCCAAUAAUGUAUUUCUCCUUAUUUUAUGCAUUUAAACUAAAAAAAAGAUUAUAUUAGCAAAACCUUGCUAUACAGUACUAUGCGUACGGUCAGAAGUUCUAAAAAAUAGUUUAUACGCACAACUUUGACUAUUAAAUUUGCAGAAGCCAUGUUGGAUAAUGAACUAAGGGAUGCUCUGCUACCUCUGACUUUUCCUGUCAUAAUUCGUAUUUCAGGGGGCGUUCUUGUUGCAUAUCCGACUGGACUCAGAAAAGAAAUGACUUCCAAAGACAAAUGCUGUAUUUGAUUUGUUUCAGUAGCUAGAGCUAAAAUCUGGGAAUGAUGUCUGAACCAAGCUGAACAUGUUCUAGUUGCAAGUCAGAAAAUCAGUGGUAUAACAAUCUAAUUAUUUCCAUUUUAUAUAUUUAAAACUUUAGAAGAAUAUAUUCACAAAGAGGUUAAAUAGUACUUGGUGUGCCGCCAGUUUCAUAUGCUCAUAAACAGUAUGUAACUGUAAAUUUCAGUUUUGAUUCAGUUUUAAUAAAUGCUUUUAUUAUGUGUAGCAACCAUAUUGGAUACUGAACUUUUUGACUUUCCCAGUUGGAGUUUUAUUCAUGGAGGCAUGCUGGUUGAAUUUUCAACCUGAGGCUGAUGACAGUUCAACAGGGAAAAUCAACGUCUACUUUGGCUCUUACUUCAAAACAGGAGUCUCAAUUAUACAAGGGGGGGAAUAUGUAUUCAACACACAGUUUUUUUUUAGUAAACAUGUUUUACAAAAUUCAUACCAAAAUAAUAAUAAUAUACAAAGAAGUUCAUUCAAAUUAGCUAUACACAAUAAUGUGAAAAAGUACAGGCAAUGAAGAUCGAGCAAACUUGCAAAAAUUAUUCAGUGCUUUUGGAAUAAAUAUAUUGCUCAGGUAUAACCUUUUUAACCAGUUUUUCUCUCAAGCUAUCUUUAAAUCCUUAACUUGUUGAAUCUAUGCUAUCUCAUUGUCAGUUCUUUAUUGGUGAUUUCACUUGGAUCCAAGUAAGGUGACUCACUUGGCCAUCCCAGAAUAUUUAUUUUUCUGAAACCAGAUGAGGGUUUCCAUGGCUAUCUUUUUUAGGAUCAUUGUCUUGUUGAAAA